GACGAACGCUGGCGGCGUGCUUAACACAUGCAAGUCGAACGGAAAGGCCCUGCUUUUGUGGGGUGCUCGAGUGGCGAACGGGUGAGUAACACGUGAGUAACCUGCCCUUGACUUUGGGAUAACUUCAGGAAACUGGGGCUAAUACCGGAUAGGAGCUCCUGCUGCAUGGUGGGGGUUGGAAAGUUUCGGCGGUUGGGGAUGGACUCGCGGCUUAUCAGCUUGUUGGUGGGGUAGUGGCUUACCAAGGCUUUGACGGGUAGCCGGCCUGAGCGGGUGACCGGCCUCCUUGGGCCUGCGGUACGGCCCAGACUCCUACGUGAGGCAGCAGUCGGGAAUAUUGCACAAUGGGCGGACGCCUGAUGCGGCAACGCCGCGUGCGGGAUGCCGGCCUUCGGGUUGUAAACCGCUUUCGCCUGUGACGAAGCGUGAGUGACGGUAAUGGGUAAAGAAGCACCGGCUAACUACGUG
RNAcentral lists this ribosomal RNA (468 nucleotides) under uncultured bacterium. RNAcentral describes it as "partial 16S ribosomal RNA". It matches the Rfam family "Bacterial small subunit ribosomal RNA", at positions 28 to 507 of the family's 1533-position model. The record is from RNAcentral.